UUUUAGAUGAGUUUGGUGAUAGCUCUGAUUGAACGCUGUCUAAGUGCUUGACACAUGCUAAUCGAACGAUUAAUACAAUUGAAAAAUUAAAUUAAUAGUGGUGUAAGGGUGAGUAUAAGAUAUUUUUGCCUACCUUGAAGUAAGGGAGUAAUAAAAUCCCUUAUAAUAGUAAAGGUGGUAAUAUUACCAUCGCUUUGAGAGGACGAUAAAUAUCAUAGAAAAAGGUAGUUGUUAAGGUAAUGGCUUAACAAGCUGUAAAUUUUCUUAGUCGUAACUGAGAGGUUGAUCGACCACAUUGGGUCUGAAAAAACCCCAAUGCAAAUAUGCACAGCAGUGAGGAAUUUUGGUCAAUGGCCUAACGGCCGAACUGGCAACUUAGGGAAACGACAAUUGGUUGUCAAAUGAAGUUUUGUCUAUAUAUUGAUAAUGACAAUAUAUAUAAAUAGUCUUGACUAAUUACGUGCCAGCAGUCGCGGUAAUACGUAAGAGACAAGUGUUAUUCAUCUUAAGUAGGUUUAAAGGGCACCUAGACGGUCAAAAUGACUUUAUAUAAAGUAGUAUUUGACUAGAGUUUUAUGUAAGAAGUACAGUACUUUUAAGUGGAGAGAUGAAAUUCUGUGAUACUCUAGGGACUGGUAAAGGCGAAGGCAGUCUUCUAUGUAAAAACUGACGUUAAAGGGCGAAGGCACAGAGAACGAACAGGAUUAGGUACCCUAGUAGUCUUUGCAGACAAUGAUGAAUGCCAUAGAUUAGAUAAUUAUUUGGUCUAUAAAUGAAAGUGUAAGCAUUUCACCUCAAGAGUAAAGUGGCAACACUGGAACUGAAAUCACUAGACCGUUUCUGACACCAGUAGUGAAGUAUGUUAUUUAAUUCGAUGAUCCACGAAAAACCUUACCACAAUUUGAAUACUUAAUUUUAAUUAAGAUACAGGUGUUGCACGGCUGUUUUCAGUUAAUGUUGUGAAACUGUGGUUUCUCCAUGUAAUUAACGGAAUCCCUAUCUCUAUUUAUAGUUUUUAUAGAGCAUUUUUUCUGUAUACCGGAAAUAACAAAGGGGACAAAGACAAGUCAUCAUGGCCCUUAUAUUGUGGGCUAUAAACGUGCCGCAAUACUCCUAAACAAAGAGAUGCGAAAAUGUGAAUUCAAGCUAAUCUCAGAAAAUAGGAUACAAAAUUUAGUGAGAAGGAUUAUAGUCUGAAAUUCGACUAUAUGAAUAAGUAAUUGCUAGUAAUCGUGAAUCACCAUGUCACGGUGAAUAUAACCUCGGAUUGGUACUAACCACUCGUCACAUGCUGAAAGGAGUACUGUGCAAUAAGUUUGCUCUUUUACUGUAAAAAUAUAAUAAUUAUAAUUAGACCUUUAUAGUGGAAUUCACCGAAUGCGAGACUCUAAUCAGUGUUAAGUCGAAAUACGGUUCGUGUAGUGGAAGUUGCACGGGAUUGAUUAACCAU
RNAcentral lists this ribosomal RNA (1450 nucleotides) under Scedosporium apiospermum. RNAcentral describes it as "Bacterial small subunit ribosomal RNA". It matches the Rfam family "Bacterial small subunit ribosomal RNA". Lineage: Eukaryota; Fungi; Ascomycota; Sordariomycetes; Microascales; Microascaceae. The record is from Rfam by way of RNAcentral.